GGUUCGUUGGUGUAGUUGGUUAUCACGUCAGUCUAACAGUCUAAACAACUGAUUAGGGUGCACUGAAGGUCCUGAGUUCGAGUCUCAGACGAAUCA
Clohesyomyces aquaticus is the source of this 96-nucleotide non-coding RNA. Lineage: Eukaryota; Fungi; Ascomycota; Dothideomycetes; Pleosporales; Lindgomycetaceae. The record is from the annotation of a GenBank genome assembly.